Molecule: long non-coding RNA, 287 nt
Organism: Lagenorhynchus albirostris (white-beaked dolphin)
Lineage: Eukaryota; Metazoa; Chordata; Mammalia; Artiodactyla; Delphinidae
Exons: 3
Source: RefSeq, a predicted model, not a curated record
GCUGGUAGGCAGCAUGGAGGGUAAUUUGGAUGGGACUAAACGGGAGACAGGGAGACCAGCUGGGAAGCAGGUGCUACCAUACAGACUUGCUGUUUAGAACUGGAACCAGAAUGUUUUGAAUCAAAGCUCACCUCUGACCCCUCCCAGUCCCUCAUCUCCAUGUGCUAAAGCCCGUGCUCGACAAGAAAAGCCACCACAAUGAGAAGCCCGUGCACUGCAACGAAGAGUAGUCCACACUCGCUACAACUAGAGAGAGCCUGUGCGCGCAACGAAGACCCAACACAGCC